This 303-nucleotide ribosomal RNA is filed under the name uncultured bacterium. RNAcentral's name for it is "partial 16S ribosomal RNA". It matches the Rfam family "Bacterial small subunit ribosomal RNA", at positions 507 to 807 of the family's 1533-position model. The record is from RNAcentral.
AGCAGUCGCCGCGGUAACACGUAGGGUGCGAGCGUUAAUCGGAAUUACUGGGCGUAAAGCGUGCGCAGGCGGUUUUGUAAGACAGGCGUGAAAUCCCCGGGCUCAACCUGGGAAUGGCGCUUGUGACUGCAAAGCUAGAGUGCGGCAGAGGGGGAUGGAAUUCCGCGUGUAGCAGUGAAAUGCGUAGAUAUGCGGAGGAACACCGAUGGCGAAGGCAAUCCCCUGGGCCUGCACUGACGCUCAUGCACGAAAGCGUGGGGAGCAAACAGGAUUAGAUACCCCUGUAGUCCCUGUCUCUUAUAC